This is a long non-coding RNA of Cervus elaphus (red deer), 3492 nucleotides long. RefSeq lists it as uncharacterized. The record is from RefSeq and is a predicted model, not a curated record. The transcript is spliced from 3 exons. Lineage: Eukaryota; Metazoa; Chordata; Mammalia; Artiodactyla; Cervidae.
UUGCGUCUCCUGCACUGCAAGCAGGUUCUUUACCACUAGCACCACCUGGGAAGCUCUCUGGGUAAAAGUGAGGAGGCUUUACUGAGGAAGAGGGGAGAAGCAGGUUCAAGACACAGAGGGAAGAUCUUGACAAGAACCUUGGCAACACACACAAAAAAAACAAGCAAACAAACCAAUGACUCUUUCAAGGUGCUGAAGAUUACCUAAAAAGUCUUGUCAGCAGAUCCAAGGCUUGUCAGCAGAUGACACAAGUAGACGUGAUGCCUGAUGCCCUGACUGAGGAUUCUUUCUGAUGAAAUACAAGCUACCCACCUGUGACUAAAGGUAUUAAGAGUGAUGAAAAAUAUGGACAGGCUGCCCAUGAACUGCAAGAAGUGGAACUGGAAUAAACCCAGAAAAAUGUGAAACUUGCACAUGGUCAUCCCAAUGCAGCGGUGUUCCCACGGAAGAUGAUUUCCUGGGAUUUGGACAAGAGAGAAUAGACAAGCUUGGAAAUGUCAUCCUUUCUCAUGACUUUAGAGUAACCAAAAUAAUUUUUGACAGCAUUAAUUUUUGGCCUUUAAGUAAACAUCUUUCUGAUAUUUGAUUUCGUAAUGCAGAACAGUGUAUUAAAAAAAUUGAAACCAUCACAUUGCUUGACUCCAUAAGCAAUACAUUUGAAAGCAUUUAUUUCAUGGCUACCCAAAUAUAUAUAUGCUGUUUUCUUUUACAGAUCUACUUUUUUUUCUCUCAAAGGACUUUCGAAAAAUCACUUCACAAUGUCACGUUGAGAGGUAGGUGGCUGUUAGGUAAAGCACAUUAUCUGGCUAAGUAACUAAAUUCAUACUGUACCACAGCUUGAGAAUCUUCAAAACUAUAUCUUUGAAAGUGAAAAUCUAUUCUCUCUGACUUUUGUAGAAAACAGUCAGAUAUGUAUCUUUUAAUUUAGAGUUCUACCAAAUUACUGGUUAUAUUAAUAACUAAGACAUACACACACACACAUACUCACACACAUGUUUUCUUAGGCUGGAAAAAGGAGUUAGUUGCCUAAGACUAGAGUUUUUAUUUUCCAUUCUUUCUAGCAUCUGGUAGCUUAGAAUCAUACACACAGCAGGUAUAUAAAACACACUCGAUGAAGACUCAACCAUAAUGUCCCACUGGGUUCAGAAUCCAGCAUCUAAAUUUAUUUUUCAGGUAAAACAAAAUGCUUCCUAAACCUAACUUUACGUGAGAGACAUUUUCUUUUCACUCUUUUUAUUUAGAAAAAAAUUUGAUAACAUUUAUAUGUAAGAAGCAUAUAUCUUAACCAGACCUUCUUUUGAUUAAAAGGGAAACAAUAACCCCUUUUAUCUUAAUAUGAUGACUUGUCUGCAUUAGGUCUAAGAAAUAAAAAAACAAACAAACACACAAUUAUAUUUAUUUCCAGUGGGACUGGACAAAAUCAGAAUGAUGGAGCAUCCAAGCCAAAAACAGUAAACUUCUUAAUCAAGAUUAUCCCUUAAGACUACAGAAAGACUGGGAGGACAUUUCAUUUGUAUUCUCUUAUUCCCGCAGCCCCCCACCAUGAUUGGUAUUAUAACUGAUCUUCAAUUACUAAUGUUAUUAUUGAUUUUCAGUGGUGAAACUUAAUCAUUAGUUGUCUUACAAAUUGCCAUUAGUUCCCUUGCUAUAUUUAAUUUUUAAAAUUAUUUUCAGUAUAAUGAAUAUUUAUUUUAUUCUUCCUAUCACAGCCUUUUCAGAUUUACUUCUUUGAAAUAUUCUCAUCUGUAAGUAGCAUCCUAGUUAUAACCUUAACUGUUAUGAAUGUUUUCUAUCUUGGAACUGUACAUAUUUAUUUCUGUUACAAGAUAUAACAUAAAAAGAACUUUAAAAGAGGUAGAAGUUUUAUGAAAGUAAUCUCAUUAUUAUUUAAUAGUGCUUCCAUAAAUGUAUAUAGUAUCCCUAAAAUAUUUAUCUGUUUUUUAAAACUUUAUCGCACCUGAUAAAUCAGCAUGGAUCCCAUAAGAAAUAUUUCAAGAUGACCUGAAAGUUAAUGAGUUAGUAAGCUGGGUUCAAAGCUCAAGAAACCCAUGAAAUGUUAUCAGAAACACUUAACUUUUGAAUUUGAAAGUCUUGGAAGAGAAUUAACUUUAUGACAAAAAAAAUUAAAAUAGAAUGCAGUUAUAAACAUGAGUUUUCAUUUGACUUAUUUUUAUCACCUCAAAUCCAUACUGUCAUUCCACACUUCUUUAAAGCACUGAUAUUUGAUAGCAUCAGAGCAAAUUAAACAAGAUGAUGGCUGGCUGAAGUCAUUGGAACAAAUGAUUUUUGUUAAUAAAAUAUCAGUAUCAUUAUACAUUGUGAUUUAGAGGAAAUAUAAAAAUAUGACUCCUACUGGUUGUAACAUUAAUUGCUUAAAAUCUUGUCACUGCAAAACUUUUACACACUGUAGAAUUUUUAGUUUAUACAACUAAAUUUUAUGGUGAUACACCCCUAAUAUUUAGACCAUUAUUUAAAAUAAUUAUGUGUUCUUUAUGGAAGAGUGACUUUGUCUCUAGAAGACAAAUGGAUAACUCAACCAUAAAUAUGGUGUAUAUUUUUCUUUCAUGAUUUUUGUAGAUAGCCAAGGUUCAGGGAAUGAAUAUAGUGGAAAAGUGUCUUAGAAAUAUGAUUGAAAAUACAAAAUUUUUCAAGAUAUUUUUAAGACUUAAAACACUACACCUGAUUGCAUAUCCAUUCAUCCCACACUUAUCUAUUAAGUUAAUAUUGGCUACCCUCUAGGGAUACUUUAGUUAAUAAAACAUUCUUUUUAUAUUUACCCUUUCUGUUUGUUACCUGUUUAAGAGUACAGGUAGAAACUUUCUGUGAAACAUAUUUCGAAAUAGUCUUUAAAAGUCUGGUAUUGUGUUUUAUAAAAUUAUUUUUACAGCUGUUUCUCUCCCCUCAAAUGAGCACCCAGUUACUUGAAAAGAUUUAACUACAAUAGCAAUGAACCCCUCAAUUUUUACAGUUUUAAGCCAUUUCCCACAAAUUUCUGGGACAUUAAAAAAUAUUUUCAAAAUGCACAUCUCAAAAUUUAAAGUAUAUGGUAUUUCAUACAGGAUUCUUUGUUUUUUAUAAGUAAUUUUAUUGCUGUUUUUUACAACAUGUUGACAUAGUACUGUUUGCUAAUAAUUUAUUUGAAAGGAUGCCUCGUAACGUGGUAAAAGGUGACAUGGUGACAUUUUAAUGUAGAUUUUCCUUGUGUUUUUUACUUCAUUAAGACGUUUUCUGUGUCUGUAGUACAGUUGAUUAUAACACUGGAAUAAUCAUAGGUUUGAUUUCUGUGUGGGUUGCAUGGUAUAAGUCCCUCAUUGGCCUUUAAUUGAAGCUACUAAUUAUCUUUCAAAUACUAAAGACAAGAUGUUUGAUUGGUAUCUUAAACCUUGAAAGCCUACUAAAAACAGAUGCUGGAGUUAUGAUGGCCACUAUCAAGUUUAUAUAUAUUUAUAAAGUACCCUAUCAUUAAUAUGAAUGUCUUAAUAAACAUUUAAA